ACGCAAUAGAUACCCUGGUAGUCCACGCCCUAAACGAUGUCUACUAGUUGUCGGGUCUUAAUUGACUUGGUAAACGCAGCUAAACGCGUGAAGUAGACCGCCUGGGGAGUACGGUCGCAAGAUUAAAACUCAAAGGAAUUGACGGGGACCCGCACAAGCGGUGGAUGAUGUGGAUUAAAUUCGAUGCAACGCGAAAAACCUUACCUACCCUUGACAUGGAUGGAAUCCUUGAGAGAUUGAGGAGUGCCCGAAAGGGAACCAUUACACAGGUGCUGCAUGGCUGUCGUCAGCUCGUGUCGUGAGAUGUUGGGUUAAGUCCCGCAACGAGCGCAACCCUUGUCAUUAGUUGCUACGAAAGGGCACUCUAAUGAGACUGCCGGUGACAAACCGGAGGAAGGUGGGGAUGACGUCAAGUCCUCAUGGCCCUUAUGGGUAGGGCUUCACACGUCAUACAAUGGUACAUACAGAGGGCC
This 473-nucleotide ribosomal RNA is filed under the name uncultured bacterium. RNAcentral describes it as "bacterial SSU rRNA". It matches the Rfam family "Bacterial small subunit ribosomal RNA", at positions 774 to 1248 of the family's 1533-position model. The record is from RNAcentral.